This 440-nucleotide ribosomal RNA is filed under the name uncultured bacterium. RNAcentral describes it as "partial 16S ribosomal RNA". It matches the Rfam family "Bacterial small subunit ribosomal RNA", at positions 338 to 795 of the family's 1533-position model. The record is from RNAcentral.
CCUACGGGAGGCAGCAGUGGGGAAUAUUGCACAAUGGGGGGAACCCUGAUGCAGCGAAGCAGCGUGAGUGAAGAAGUAUUUCGGUAUGUAAAGCUCUAUCAGCAGGGAAGAAAAUGACGGUACCUGACUAAGAAGCCCCGGCUAACUACGUGCCAGCAGCCGCGGUAAUACGUAGGGGGCAAGCGUUAUCCGGAUUUACUGGGUGUAAAGGGAGCGCAGAGGGCUGUGCAAGUCUGGAGUGAAAGGUGGGGGCCCAACCCCCGGACUGCUCUGGAAACUGUAAAGCUGGAGUGCAGGAGAGGUAAGCGGAAUUCCUAGUGUAGCGGUGAAAUGCGUAGAUAUUAGGAAGAACUCCAGUUGCGAAGGCGGCUUACUGAACUGCAACUGACAUUGAGGCUCGAAAGCGUGGGGAUCAAACAGGAUUAGAUACCCGGGUAGUC